UACGGAGGAUCCAAGCGUUAUCCGGAAUCAUUGGGUUUAAAGGGUCCGUAGGCGGUUUUGUAAGUCAGUGGUGAAAGCCCAUCGCUCAACGGUGGAACGGCCAUUGAUACUGCAAGACUUGAAUUAUUAGGAAGUAACUAGAAUAUGUAGUGUAGCGGUGAAAUGCUUAGAGAUUACAUGGAAUACCAAUUGCGAAGGCAGGUUACUACUAAUAUAUUGACGCUGAUGGACGAAAGCGUGGGUAGCGAACAGG
RNAcentral lists this ribosomal RNA (253 nucleotides) under uncultured bacterium. RNAcentral's name for it is "partial 16S ribosomal RNA". It matches the Rfam family "Bacterial small subunit ribosomal RNA", at positions 524 to 776 of the family's 1533-position model. The record is from RNAcentral.